RNAcentral lists this ribosomal RNA (253 nucleotides) under uncultured bacterium. RNAcentral describes it as "partial 16S ribosomal RNA". It matches the Rfam family "Bacterial small subunit ribosomal RNA", at positions 524 to 776 of the family's 1533-position model. The record is from RNAcentral.
UACGUAGGGGGCAAGCGUUAGGCGGAAUCACUGGGCUUAAAGCGUGUGUAGGCGGAUAUCUAAGUACCUUGUGAAAUCCCACGGCUCAACCGUGGAACUGCUUGGUAUACUGGGUGUCUUGAGCCAUCUAGGGGCUACCGGAACAAAUGGUGGAGCGGUGAAAUGCGUAGAUAUCAUGAGGAAGACCAGUGGCGAAGGCGGGUCUCUGGACAGUUCCUGACACUGAGGCACGAAGGCCAGGGGAGCAAACGGG